GACGAACGCUGGCGGCGUGCUUAACACAUGCAAGUCGAACGGAAAGGCUCUGCUUUUGUGGGGUGCUCGAGUGGCGAACGGGUGAGUAACACGUGAGUAACCUGCCCUUGACUUUGGGGUAACUUCAGGAAACUGGGGCGAAUACCGGAUAGGAGCUGCUGCUGCUCGGUGGGGGUUGGAAAGUUUCGGCGGUUGGGGAUGGACUCGCGGCUUAUCAGCUUGUUGGUGGGGUAGUGGCUUACCAAGGCUUUGACGGGUAGCCGGACUGAGAGGGUGACCGGCCACAUUGGGACUGAAAUACGGCCCAGACUCCUACGGGAGGCAGCAGUGGGGAAUAUUGCACAAUGGGCGGAAGCGUGAUGCAGGAACGCCGCGUGCGGGAUGACGGCCUUCGGAUUGUAAACCGCUUUCGCAUGUGACGAAGCGUGAGUGACGGUAAUCGGUAAAGAAGCACCGGCUAACUACGUG
Molecule: ribosomal RNA, 468 nt
Filed under: uncultured bacterium
Lineage: Bacteria
Description: partial 16S ribosomal RNA
Rfam family: Bacterial small subunit ribosomal RNA
Source: RNAcentral